Molecule: ribosomal RNA, 1585 nt
Filed under: metagenome
Description: bacterial LSU rRNA
Rfam family: Bacterial large subunit ribosomal RNA
Source: RNAcentral
AGCAUUAUGGAGGUAGAGCACUGUUAAGGCUAGGGGGAUCACCAAUCUUACCAAACCUUGGCAAACUCCGAAUGCCAUAAUGUGUUGCUCAGGAGUGAGUCUUAGGGGGCUAAGCUCCUAAGACAAAAGGGAAACAACCCAGAUCGUCAGUUAAGGUCCCUAAAAUAUACUAAGUGGAAAAGGAAGUGGAAUUACUUAAACAGCCAGGAGGUUGGCUUAGAAGCAGCCAUCCUUUAAAGAAAGCGUAACAGCUCACUGGUUUAGUGAUUCUGCGCCGAAAAUGUAACGGGGCUAAGUAUAUUACCGAAACUACGAAAUUACUAUGUAAUUGGUAGGGGAGCGUUCUGUAUUAGGUUGAAGAUGAGCUGUGAAGCUUGUUGGACGAAUCAGAAGUGAGAAUGUCGGCAUGAGUAACGAAAAGAUAAGUGAGAAUCUUAUCCGCCGAAAACCUAAGGUUUCCUGGGGAAGGCUCGUCCGCCCAGGGUUAGUCGGGCCUAAGUUGAGGUCGAAAGACGUAGACGAUGGACAACAGGCUAAUAUUCCUGUACCACUAUAAGCGCGUUAUCAGCGAUGGGGUGACGCAGAAGGAUAGGUCAGCCACUUAUUGGAUUGUGGUUUAAGCAAGUAGGAGUAAGGGAAUUGGAAAAUCCGUCCCUUUUUAACUCUGAGAUGUUAUGACGAAGUGUUUACACUGAAGUGAUUGACUCCGCACUGACAAGAAAAACCUCUAGUGAGUGCUUAUGGUGACCGUACUAAAACCAACACAGGUAGGUAGGUAGAGAAUACUAAGGCGCGCGAGAUAACUCUCGUUAAGGAACUCUGCAAAAUGGCCUCGUAACUUCGGGAGAAGAGGUGCCUAUGUAGCGUGAAAGUCUUUACGACCGGAGCGUGAAUAGGUUGCAAUAAAAUGACUCAAACGACUGUUUACCAAAAACACAGGUCCCUGCUAAACCGUAAGGUGAUGUAUAGGGGCUGACGCCUGCCCAGUGCUGGAAGGUUAAUAGGAGNUGUNANUUUUGCUUGCAAGACAAAGCAGCGAAUUGAAGCCCCAGUGAACGGCGGCCGUAACUAUAACGGUCCUAAGGUAGCGAAAUUCCUUGUCGGGUAAAGUUCCGACCCGCACGAAAGGCGUAACGAAUUGAGCACUGUCUCAACGAGAGACUCGGUGAAAUUGAAAUAUCCGUGAAGAUGCGGAUUUCCUAUAGCAAGACAGAAAGACCCCGUGGAGCUUUACUGUAACUUGGCUUUGUUUUUUGGAAUAAUUUGUGCAGGAUAGGUGGGAGGCUUUGAUCUAUAGUCGUCAGAUUAUAGUGAGCCAAUGGUGAGAUACCACCCUUGUUAUUUUGAAAAACUAACUAUGUUCCGUUAUCCGGAACUAGGACAUAGUCUGGUGGGCAGUUUGACUGGGGCGGUCGCCUCCCAAAGAGUAACGGAGGCGCUCAAAGGUUCACUCAAGACGGUUGGAAAUCGUCUGUAGAGCGUAAGGGUAUAAGUGAGCUUGACUGCGAGACUUACAAGUCAAGCAGGGACGAAAGUCGGACCUAGUGAUCCGGUGACUCCGUAUGGAAGGGUCAUCGCUCAACGG